This 468-nucleotide ribosomal RNA is filed under the name uncultured bacterium. Its description in RNAcentral is "partial 16S ribosomal RNA". It matches the Rfam family "Bacterial small subunit ribosomal RNA", at positions 28 to 507 of the family's 1533-position model. The record is from RNAcentral.
GACGAACGCUGGCGGCGUGCUUAACACAUGCAAGUCGAACGGAAAGGCCCUGCUUUUGUGGGGUGCUCGAGUGGCGAACGGGUGAGUAACACGUGUGUAACCUGCCCUUGACUUUGGGAUAACUUCAGGAAACUGGGGCUAAUACCGGAUAGGAGCUCCUGCUCCAUGGGGUGGGUUGGAAAGUUUCGGCGGUUGGGGAUGGACUCGCGGCUUAUCAGCUUGUUGGUGGGGUAGUGGCUUACCAAGGCUUUGACGGGUAGCCGGCCUGAGAGGGUGACCGGGCACAAUGGGACUGCGAUAGGGACCAGACGCCUACGGGCGGCAGCAGUGGGGAAUAUUGCACAAUGGGCCGGAGCCUGAGGCAGCAACGCCGCGUGCGUGAUGACCGCCUUCGGGUUGUAAACCGCUGUCGCCUGUGACGAAGCGUGAGUGACGGUAAUGGGUAAAGAAGCACCGGCUAACUACGUG